UACAGAGGGUGCUAGCGUUAAUCGGAUUUACUGGGCGUAAAGCGUGCGUAGGCGGUUCGAUAAGUCGAUUGUGAAAGCCCCGGGCUCAACCUGGGAAUUGCAGUCGAUACUGUCAGACUCGAGAACGGUAGAGGGAGGCGGAACUCCAGGUGUAGCGGUGAAAUGCGUAGAUAUCUGGAAGAACACCGAUGGCGAAGGCAACCUCCUGGGCCUGUUCUGACGCUGAGGCACGAAAGCGUGGGUAGCAAACAGG
This 253-nucleotide ribosomal RNA is filed under the name uncultured bacterium. Its description in RNAcentral is "partial 16S ribosomal RNA". It matches the Rfam family "Bacterial small subunit ribosomal RNA", at positions 524 to 776 of the family's 1533-position model. The record is from RNAcentral.